Molecule: ribosomal RNA, 429 nt
Filed under: Bacteroidota bacterium
Lineage: Bacteria; Pseudomonadati; Bacteroidota
Description: Bacteroidetes bacterium partial 16S ribosomal RNA
Rfam family: Bacterial small subunit ribosomal RNA
Source: RNAcentral
UAGGGAAUCUUCGGCAAUGGGGGGAACCCUGACCGAGCAACGCCGCGUGAGUGAAGAAGGUUUUCGGAUCGUAAAGCUCUGUUGUUAAGGAAGAACGAGUGUGAGAAUGGAAAGUUCAUACUGUGACGGUACUUAACCAGAAAGGGACGGCUAAAUACGUGCCAGCAGCCGCGGUAAUACGUAGGUCCCGAGCGUUGUCCGGAUUUAUUGGGCGUAAAGCGAGCGCAGGCGGUUAGAUAAGUCUGAAGUUAAAGGCAGUGGCUCAACCAUUGUAGGCUUUGGAAACUGUUUAACUUGAGUGCAGAAGGGGAGAGUGGAAUUCCAUGUGUAGCGGUGAAAUGUGUAGAUAUCGGGAAGAACACCAAUGGCGAAGGCAGGUCUCUGGGCUGUUACUGACGCUGAGAAGCGAAAGCGUGGGGAGCGAACAGG